AAAAAAAAAAAAAGGCUGACCAACCAAUUCUAGUUACUUUACGCUUGCCCUGCCCCUUAAAGAAGAAAUGAACUCUAUAAAUAAAGGGCAAAGUGUACCAUACAUAGGCUUGAGCACGCAACUCAUAGUCUCCAACACUCCUUCUUCUAACCUCUCUUCCCAACUCUUCUUCUAAACCAAACCAGACCCAGAAUGGUAGGACCCUCGCUUGACCCCACCAAGCCCUCCACCAUCAAGUUCCUCUGCAGCUACGGCGGCAAAAUCCUCCCCCGUUAUCCCGACGGCAAGCUUCGUUAUCUCGGCGGCGAAACCCGCGUCCUCGCCGUCCACCGCAACAUUUCCUUUUCCGAGCUGUUGUUGAAGCUGGGUGAGCUGUGUGGGCCCUCCGUGACCGUGAGCCUACGUUGUCAGUUGCCCGCCGAGGAUCUCGACACCCUCGUGUCCAUAAAGUCCGAUGAGGAUCUGGCCAAUCUCAUCGAAGAAUACGACAGAGCAGCCGCCUCUGCAUCUCCACCGCCUUUUGCCAAUUUGAAGAUCAGAGCCUUCCUUUCCCUCGUCCCUCCCAAACCAUACAAAACGCCGUCGUCUACGCAGUCUUCCUCGGCCUCCGCCUCCACGACGUCGUCCUCCGGCACUUCCUCCUCGUCUAACUACUACUACAGCGCUGCUGCUUCCGGGUCCACUCCCAGGUUCCCCAUGGCGUCCACGCCAGUUGACCGCUGUGUCCGCCAAAUCUCACAGACUACAACGCCGUUUCAGAAAUCAGCCGCCAAGGUUCCUCACUGUGCUAAUAUUUGCCAUGCUCAUGGAAGCCCCAGUAGUCGGCUCUAUCUCAUUCACAACGGCAACCACUGGCAAUAACGACACAUGUGACACUCUCGGAGUCUCGGACUGAGUACUAUAAAUAUAUAUGCCACGGCCGGUUAAAUACUACCAAACAACUCCCCUUCCCUCCCCCCACCCCACGAAGGAGAAAAUACGAACAAAAAAAUGAAGAAGAUCAAAUAUCGUAUAGUAUUUGAUCAUAUGAUGUAAUGGGAUUGGCGCUAUAGCUGUAAUCGUUCAGAUGGAUUGCUUUUCAAUAUCCGUGGCGACUAAUGAAUUUCAGUCCAAUUUCGUUUUUACAUGUGCAUGUGUUCAUUCAUGAAUCAUGUUUGACAUUUUGACUCAGCAGGUUUAUGAAAGACACUAAAAAUGUAGCAAGCAGGUUGAUGCUGAUCGGGGAGACGGACAGAGCUUUCAAUUUUUGACUCAACCAGCAGCAUGUAUAGAUUCGAUCGAUGGGAUGGGAUGGGAAUGCAGGCAGAACUGGAGUCUCGAGAAACAGUGAUAUAGUUGGAAGCAUCGGAAUCUUUAUUGAUGGAAUUGGGGAGAAAACCAUAAAAAUACAUAUGUGUCCCAUACGUGACAGCUGGUGCUCGUUGCCUAGCUACUACUGGUUCAAGAAGCUGCACGUAAUUAGUUUAACUAAGAUAUUUAAACUCUAAAUAUAAAAACCAACAAAUGAAAAUAAAUAAUAGAAAAACACAAAUGACAGCUGCUGAUAGAGAUUUGAAGAGAGGCCGUCGGCAGUCCACUCACGUAGCAUUCACAAGGGAUGAGAUGAGAUUCCUUUGGCCCUUCAUUUCAGAUGAUUCCCAAUUAACCAAUUAAUUUAUGGAAAUUUAGAAAGGAGACAAAUCUGAAAGGGAUUUGAUGGAGCGUUGUUAGGUAUCCUGUGGGUAACAUUUAAUUAAUUAAGGGAUAAUUAAAGUGGUUUAAGGAUGAUCCCAUUCCUAUAGGCUAUACCUCUCUGCCUGCCCCCACCAUGCGUGUGAUCCUUUUUAUCUCGUCUUUGAUGAGAAAUAGAAAUGUGGGACUAAGAUAUGGAUAGAGAGAUCA
Molecule: non-coding RNA, 1881 nt
Organism: Prunus mume (Japanese apricot)
Lineage: Eukaryota; Viridiplantae; Streptophyta; Magnoliopsida; Rosales; Rosaceae
Source: RefSeq, a predicted model, not a curated record